UACGAAGGGGGCUAGCGUUGUUCGGAAUUACUGGGCGUAAAGCGCGCGCAGGCGGCUAUCCAAGUCAGUGGUGAAAGCCCGGAGCUCAACUCCGGAACUGCCAUUGAAACUGUUUAGCUGGAGUAUGAGAGAGGUGAGUGGAAUUCCCAGUGUAGAGGUGAAAUUCGUAGAUAUUGGGAAGAACACCGGUGGCGAAGGUGGCUCACUGGCUCAUUACUGACGCUCAUGCGCGACAGCGUGGGGAUCAAACAGG
Molecule: ribosomal RNA, 253 nt
Filed under: uncultured bacterium
Lineage: Bacteria
Description: partial 16S ribosomal RNA
Rfam family: Bacterial small subunit ribosomal RNA
Source: RNAcentral